GCGAAGAACCUUACCUACCCUUGACAUCCAGAGAAUCUGUGAGAGAUCGUAGAGUCCCUUCGGGAANUCUGAGACAGGUGCUGCAUGACUGUCGUCAGCUCGUGUCGUGAGAUGUUGGGUUAAGUCCUGUAACGAGCGCAACCCUUAUCCUUAGUUGCCACCGGGUGAGACCGGGACCUCUAGGGAGACUGCCGGUGAUAUACCGGAGGAAGGUGGGGAGAGGGUCAAGUCAUCAUGUCCCUUAUGGGUAGGGCUACACACGUGCUACAAUGUCCGGUACACAGGGGUGAGAACUGGCAACAGUCAGCCAAUCCCACAAANCCGGUCCUAGUCCGGAUUGGAGUCUGCAACUCGACUCCAUGAAGUGCGGAAUCGCUAGUAAUCGCGAAUCAGAAUGUCCCAGUGAAUACGUUCCCGGGUCUUGUACACACCG
This 433-nucleotide ribosomal RNA is filed under the name uncultured bacterium. RNAcentral describes it as "bacterial SSU rRNA". It matches the Rfam family "Bacterial small subunit ribosomal RNA", at positions 961 to 1392 of the family's 1533-position model. The record is from RNAcentral.